CACGUGCUUGCCAUCUGCUGGGCUAUGUGUUCCAUGAGGUUAGAGGCUGUGGCUGCCAUGUCCACCACUCUGUUUCUAGCACUGAAUCAGGGCCUGGCACCCAGAAACUACAGAAUAAAUAUUUAUUGAGUGAAUGCCUAGAGACUAAUCAUCAGCGACGUAAUCAUGUUAUUUGUCCUUUUCUACAACAAAUGUUUCUCAAAGGUCAGAAAUGAGAAGAUGAAACCAGGACCAACGUGGAUUAAAUAGAGUUUGUCUCUUCCAGAAUCAAAGCUGUAAAACUACAAAUCAUUCUUCAAAUGGAGCCCCAGAUGCAGUCCAUGACUAAGAUCUACCAUGGACCCCUGGACCGGCCUGCUAGCCCAUGCUCCGAAGUUGAUGACAUCGAAGGCACCCCUCCCAAGGAAAUUUCAACUGCACGACCCUUACUAUGCCCCAAUUCAGCAGGAAGCAGUUAGAGCUGUCGUCAGCCAACCUCCGCAAGAGCACUUGGGUUUUCCUGUUGAGAGGGGCUACUAAGAGACAGGACUAGCUGGAUUUCCUAGGCCAACUAAGAAUCCCUAAGCCUAGCUGGGAAGUUGACCACAUCCACCUUUAAACACGAGGCUUGCAACUUAGCUUACACACAACCAAUCAGGUAGUAAAGAGAGCUCACUAAAAUGCUAACUAGGCAAAAACAGGAAGUAAAGAAAUAGCCAAUCAUCUAUUGCCUGAGAGCACAGGGGGAGGGACAAUGAUCGGGAUAUAAACCCAGGCAUCGGAGCCGGCAAUGGCUGUCCCCUUUGGGUCCCCUCCCUUUGUAUGGGAGCUCUGUUUUUACUCUAUUAAAUCUUGCAAUUGCAAAAAAAAAAAAAAAUCCCUAGUGCCCAG
Molecule: long non-coding RNA, 870 nt
Filed under: Homo sapiens (human)
Lineage: Eukaryota; Metazoa; Chordata; Mammalia; Primates; Hominidae
Description: HSALNT0337273
Source: RNAcentral